This 529-nucleotide ribosomal RNA is filed under the name uncultured bacterium. Its description in RNAcentral is "bacterial SSU rRNA". It matches the Rfam family "Bacterial small subunit ribosomal RNA", at positions 985 to 1509 of the family's 1533-position model. The record is from RNAcentral.
CAUCUCCUGACAAUCCUAGAGAUAGGACGUUCCCCUUCGGGGGACAGGAUGACAGGUUGGUGCAUGGUUUGUCGUCAGCUCGUGUCGUGAGAUGUUGGGUUAAGUCCCGCAACGAGCGCAACCCUUGAUCUUAGUUGCCAGCAUUUAGUUGGGCACUCUAAGGUGACUGCCGGUGACAAACCGGAGGAAGGUGGGGAUGACGUCAAAUCAUCAUGCCCCUUAUGACCUGGGCUACACACGUGCUACAAUGGAUGGUACAAAGGGCAGCAAAACCGCGAGGUCGAGCCAAUCCCAUAAAACCAUUCUCAGUUCGGAUUGUAGGCUGCAACUCGCCUACAUGAAGCUGGAAUCGCUAGUAAUCGCGGAUCAGCAUGCCGCGGUGAAUACGUUCCCGGGCCUUGUACACACCGCCCGUCACACCACGAGAGUUUGUAACACCCGAAGUCGGUGGGGUAACCCUUCUGGGAGCCAGCCGCCUAAGGUGGGAUAGAUGAUUGGGGUGAAGUCGUAACAAGGUAGGCGUAGCGAG